Long non-coding RNA from Raphanus sativus (radish), 535 nucleotides. RefSeq lists it as uncharacterized. The record is from RefSeq and is a predicted model, not a curated record. NCBI's taxonomy places the organism in Eukaryota, Viridiplantae, Streptophyta, Magnoliopsida, Brassicales, Brassicaceae. The transcript has 3 exons.
GAAUUGAUUUUUUAUCUAUUGUCUAGGUAAAUAUAAGUGGUCUCUUUUGUGUUCUUUCACAGUGUUUUCUUUAGUUGAUUUUGAACAGUUUGAUCAUAACAUCACUAUUCGAUUUAGUCGUGGAACCAAAAAGAAGAAGAUCCGAGUUAAGAAGCCAAGAAGAGGUAUCCAAUCACGAGGUGGUUGAGAGAUUGAAGUGAUGCAGUAUUCCAAUCACUUUAAUCAGGUUCUGUUGUGGCGAAGGUUCAGAAUCAAAUGAAUAGUGAAGGACACAAUUUGGAAUAAUUAUUUCUGUUCCAUAUGCCAUAGCACGAAUCAAGUCUUUUAUUUCCGUUCGGAUUGCCAGUCCUAUAUGUCACUGCAAACCUGAUCCGGGAGCAUUGAUGGACCCAUCUCCAGAGCUUUCUUUGAGUAAAAUAGCUCUGACUUACCUUAUGAAAACUGAAACAAGAGACUUUCAGGUUUCCUAGCAUAGACUUGAACAGCUUUGGUUCCGAGAAUGAUGGACUUGAUCUAUUAGUUUUCACUUGUACUU